AUGUGCAUCGACUUUAAAACCACAGCGGCUUCGAGGAGGCCGGAAAGAGGGUCCGAAUGCCCUGGGCUCGGAGUUCAGGUCCUCGAGGGGACGGUCAAUAGAGGCGCUGACUGCGGACAUGGGCAAAGCCAGCAAAGGGGACGCCACUGUCUUCCAGGUCCCAGGCUUUCCUUCUCGUUGCUUCUCUUGCCUUGUGCAGUGGAAGGAAACGGGAAGCCCAGUGCGAUCCGGGCCGGGGCAGGGCUCCAGGUCUGCUUCCGACGGCUCGGCAGAACCUCCCCCAUCCCCGCGCCUCUGGGAGAGCGCAGGCGCCCGGGCCCCGAGGGCGGGAGACUGGGCAUCCCGGGCCUGGCCGCCUCCCGCUCUUCGCCUUUCCCGCUAAACCCCGGGGAGAGCACUUCCUGUCUCGCCAUGGGUGCCAGCGGCCCGUCUUCCCUUCGGCGGAGCCGGAGCCCCGCGCUCGCACAGACUCACAAGCGGGCGCCCCCUGCCGGCCCGAGCUUCCCGGGGGCCCUCGGCACCCUGCGAGAGGCGGCCCCGCUCCGGCCAGGGCGCUCGCUCCCUGACUCGGGAUGGCCUGGGGGGCGGGGGGUGGGGAGGACAUGCUCCAUCCCCGGGAGCGAGGGCCCGGGUCGCGGAGCGGGCGGCCGCCCUCGGCAUCAUCCAACGCCGGCAGCUGCAGCGGGGUUGGAGAGAGGGGACCCGACGGGGCGGGGCUGGCCCGGAGCGCCUCCCGGGUCGGUCGGUUCCGGGGUCUGCGGCCCUCCUGGGGGCGGGGCGGGGCAUAGAACAGAGCAGCCAGCCCCGGGUACAAGCAUUCGGUCUUUUAUUACAAGGAGCCGGGGCUCGGGCCCUCACUCUCUCAAAAUAGAACUAACUCUGCGAACAAACAACCGGACUGUACAGCUCAUUUACAGGCCCCGGGCGGGGCGGGCGGGGCGGGCGGGGCGGGGCGGGCGGGGGCGGGGCCCGGGCCGCCAGGGCACGCACGCUCGCUCGCUCAGCACAGGUGCUAUCCGACUUUAA
RNAcentral lists this long non-coding RNA (1026 nucleotides) under Monodelphis domestica (gray short-tailed opossum). RNAcentral's name for it is "lncRNA (ENSMODG00000051243.1)". The record is from RNAcentral. Lineage: Eukaryota; Metazoa; Chordata; Mammalia; Didelphimorphia; Didelphidae.